This 1355-nucleotide ribosomal RNA is filed under the name uncultured bacterium. RNAcentral describes it as "bacterial SSU rRNA". It matches the Rfam family "Bacterial small subunit ribosomal RNA", at positions 28 to 1381 of the family's 1533-position model. The record is from RNAcentral.
AAUGAACGCUGGCGGCAUGCCUUACACAUGCAAGUCGAACGGGAACAGGUCUUCCGAUGCUGACGAGGGGGGAACAGGGGAGUAAUAAAUGGGCACCUGCCCGAUCGUGGGGGACAACGAGGCGAAAGCGUUGCUAAUACCGCAGACGAUCUACAGAUGAAAGCGGGGGAUCUUCCGACCUCGCGCGGACGGAGCGGAACGAUGGCCUACUAAGCAGGUGGAGGGAUAAAAGCUUACCAAGCCGACCAUCUGUAUCAGGCCUGAGAGGAUGAUCAACCACGCUGGGACUGAGACGACGCCCACACUCCUACUGAAGGGGGCAUUGGGGAAUAUUGGACACUGGGCGAAAGACAGAUCCACCCAAGCCCCGCGCAGGAUGAAAGCCUUCGAAGAUGGAAACCGGUUUUGUACGGAACAAAAAGCCUCUUUCUAAUAAAGAGGGGUCAUGACGGCACCUGAAGAAUAAUCACCGGCAAACUACAUGCCGACAGGCGCGGAAGAACAAACGGCGCAAGCGUCCAUCGCAAUUACCGGGCGAAUAGCGUGCGCACGACGGUUUGUCAGACAGACGUGAAAUCCCCGGGACUCUACCCGGGAACUGCCUUUGAGACUGCAAGGCUGGAAUGCCGCGGAGGGGGAUGGACUUCCGCGUGCANCAGUGAAGAGCAUAGAUAUGCAAGAGAGAACACCGAUGGCAAAGGCAAUCUCCUGGGCCUGCACUGACGCUCAUGCACAAAAGCGGGGGAAGCAAACAGGAUUAAAUACCCGGGAAGUCCACCCCCAAAACAAUAUCGACUGGUUGUGGGCUCUUCGCUGACUCAGUAACAAAACUAACGCGUGAACUUCACCGCCUGGAGAGUACGGCCGCAAGGAUGAAACUCACAAGAAUUGACGGGGACCCACACAAGCGGUGGAUGAUGUGGUUUAAUACCAUGCGACUCAAAAAACCUUACCCACCUUCGACAUGGCAGGAAGUUUCCAGAGAUGGAUUCGUGCCACAAAGGGAACCGGCACACAGUUGUCGCACGGCUGUAGUCAGCUUGAGUCGUGAGAUGGUGGCUAGAGUCCCGCAACGAGCGCAACCCUUGCCAUUAGGUCAUGCGAAAGGGCCCUUUACUGGGGCUGCCGGUGACAAACCGGAGGAAGGUGGGGAAGACGUCAAGUCCUCCUGGCCCUUAUAGGUGGGGCUCCCCCCGUCAUACAAUGGGCGGUACCGAGGGUUGCCAACCCGCGAGGGGGAGGUGAUUCCAUAAAGCCAGUCGUAGUCCGGAUCGCAGUCUGCAACUCGAGUGCGUGAAGUCGGAAUCGCUAGUAAUCGCGGAUCAGCAUGUCGCGGUGAAUAAGUUCCCGGGUCU